AUUCCUCAAUGUCUCAUUUUAAUGUAAACUAUGCGUAAGAGUUUUCUAUAAGUGGGAGUGAUCAAAUGUUGAAAAAAUGGCUUGGAAUGGCACUAAUAACCCCAAUGCUAACGUUUAUUAUAUGGGUUUUUAAUAGCCAUACUAUCAUUACAUAUUUAAAUAUAUUGUUUUAUGUUUCAUUAAUUAUUUUUAUUAGCAUUUUUUUGAUUUUACUUGUACAAGAAGGCAUUUUUGAUGCGACAAGUUAUGGUUUUAGAAGAUUAAAGUAUCAAAUGUCAUCUUCGAAAAAGAAGAAGUCUAUCUCUGAUGAUCCAUUUUUCAACCCACAAGAGGUAAAAAAAGAGCAUUACUUUGUUUCUACAUGGAUAAUACCCUUAUUAUUAAUAAAUAUUUUAUAUUUUAUUAUGACGAU
This 412-nucleotide small nuclear RNA is filed under the name Staphylococcus aureus. RNAcentral's name for it is "SARs259". Lineage: Bacteria; Bacillati; Bacillota; Bacilli; Caryophanales; Staphylococcaceae. The record is from RNAcentral.